CUUAUGAACAUAUUGAAGUCGAGGUUUCCCUGGACGUCAAGCCAUUCCUCUCCCUGUCCUUCCUUUUUUAUCUUAUUAUUCCUGAAGAAUGAAUCAUUGUAAACAGCCACAACACUCAAGUCUGGCCACAGGACCACAGUAAGAAUGAAGAUCAGAUGAUUUGAACUAAUUUUGUGAGAAAUACCACCUGCUCUCAGAAGAUAAGAAACAGAGAAAGAUAAGCAAUAACAUAUGCUAAGGAAUAAAGAACUGGGAGAGAGUAUUGUAUGGAAUAUAGAGAACAAUAAAUUUGAUUUGUCUUUUA
Molecule: non-coding RNA, 304 nt
Organism: Rattus norvegicus (Norway rat)
Lineage: Eukaryota; Metazoa; Chordata; Mammalia; Rodentia; Muridae
Source: RefSeq, a predicted model, not a curated record